This 460-nucleotide ribosomal RNA is filed under the name uncultured bacterium. Its description in RNAcentral is "partial 16S ribosomal RNA". It matches the Rfam family "Bacterial small subunit ribosomal RNA", at positions 338 to 795 of the family's 1533-position model. The record is from RNAcentral.
CCUACGGGAGGCUGCAGUGAGGAAUAUUGGUCAAUGGACGAGAGUCUGAACCAGCCAAGUAGCGUGAAGGAUGACUGCCCUAUGGGUUGUAAACUUCUUUUAUAUGGGAAUAAAACAGGGUAUGCAUACCCUCUUGUAUGUACCAUAUGUAUAAGGAUCGGCUAACUCCGUGCCAGCAGCCGCGGUAAUACGGAGGAUCCGAGCGUUAUCCGGAUUUAUUGGGUUUAAAGGGAGCGUAGGUUGAUUGUUAAGUAAGUUGUGAAAGUUUGCGGCUCAACCGUAAAAUUGCAGUUGAAACUGGCAGUCGUGAGUACAGUAGAGGUGGGCGGAAUUCGUGGUGUAGCGGUGAAAUGCUUAGAUAUCACGAAGAACUCCGAUUGCGAAGGGAGCUCACUGGACUGCCACUGACAUUGAUGCUCGAAAGUGUGGGUAUCAAACAGGAUUAGAUAACCGGGUAGUC